This 767-nucleotide ribosomal RNA is filed under the name uncultured bacterium. Its description in RNAcentral is "bacterial SSU rRNA". It matches the Rfam family "Bacterial small subunit ribosomal RNA", at positions 111 to 914 of the family's 1533-position model. The record is from RNAcentral.
UAACGCGUGGGAACCUGCCCAGUGGUAGGGAAUAACUGGGGGAAACUGCAGCUAAUACCCUAUGAGCCCUACGGGGGAAAGAUUUAUCGCCAUUGGAGGGGCCCGCGUCGGAUUAGCUAGUUGGUGGGGUAACGGCCUACCAAGGCGACGAUCCGUAGCUGGUCUGAGAGGAUGAUCAGCCACACUGGGACUGAGAUACGGCCCAGACUCCUACGGGAGGCAGCAGUGGGGAAUAUUGGACAAUGGGGGAAACCCUGAUCCAGCAAUGCCGCGUGAGUGAAGAAGGCCUUAGGGUUGUAAAGCUCUUUCGGCGGGGAAGAUGAUGACGGUACCCGCAGAAGAAGCCCCGGCUAACUCCGUGCCAGCAGCCGCGGUAAUACGGAGGGGGCUAGCGUUGUUCGGAAUUACUGGGCGUAAAGGGCGCGUAGGCGGCGAAGCAAGUCAGGUGUGAAAGGCCCGGGCUCAACCCGGGAACUGCACUUGAGACUGCUUUGCUUGAGUCCGGGAGAGGAUGGCGGAAUUCCCAGUGUAGAGGUGAAAUUCGUAGAUAUUGGGAAGAACACCGGUGGCGAAGGCGGCCAUCUGGACCGGUACUGACACUGAGGCGCGAAAGCGUGGGGAGCAAACGGGAUUAGAUACCCUGGUAGUCCACGCCGUAAACGAUGAGUGCUAGACGUCGGGGGGUUCACCCUCCGGUGUCGCAGCUAACGCUUUAAGCACUCCGCCUGGGGAGUACGGUCGCAAGAUUAAAACUCAAAGGAAUUGAC